CUUACCUACGGGGGGCAGCAGUGGGGGAUAUUGCACAAUGGGGGAAACCCUGAUGCAGCGACGCCGCGUGGGCGAAGAAAAUGACGGUACCUGAAGAAGAAGCCCCGGCUAACUACGUGCCAGCAGCCGCGGUAAUACGUAGGGGGCAAGCGUUAUCCGGAUUUACUGGGUGUAAAGGGGGCGCAGACGGCGAUGCAAGCCAGGAGUGAAAGCCCGGGGCCCAACCCCGGGACUGCUCUUGGAACUGCGUGGCUGGAGUGCAGGAGGGGCAGGCGGAAUUCCUGGUGGAGCGGUGAAAUGAGUAG
Molecule: ribosomal RNA, 305 nt
Filed under: uncultured bacterium
Lineage: Bacteria
Description: bacterial SSU rRNA
Rfam family: Bacterial small subunit ribosomal RNA
Source: RNAcentral